This 426-nucleotide ribosomal RNA is filed under the name uncultured bacterium. RNAcentral describes it as "bacterial SSU rRNA". It matches the Rfam family "Bacterial small subunit ribosomal RNA", at positions 29 to 500 of the family's 1533-position model. The record is from RNAcentral.
AACGAACGCUGGCGGCAGGCCUAACACAUGCAAGUCGAACGCCCGUAGCAAUACGGGAGUGGCAGACGGGUGAGUAACGCGUGGGAACGUGCCCUUCGGUUUGGAAUAACUCAGGGAAACUUGAGCUAAUACCAAAUACGUCCGUAAGGAGAAAGAUUUAUCGCCGAAGGAUCGGCCCGCGUCGGAUUAGCUAGUUGGUGAGGUAACGGCCCACCAAGGCGACGAUCCGUAGCUGGUCUGAGAGGAUGAUCAGCCACACUGGGACUGAGACACGGCCCAGACUCCUACGGGAGGCAGCAGUGGGGAAUAUUGGACAAUGGGCGAAAGCCUGAUCCAGCCAUGCCGCGUGAGUGAAGAAGGCCUUAGGGUUGUAAGCUCUUUCAGCGGGGAAGAUAAUGACGGUACCGCAGAAGAAGCCCCGGCUAA